This 385-nucleotide ribosomal RNA is filed under the name uncultured bacterium. Its description in RNAcentral is "bacterial SSU rRNA". It matches the Rfam family "Bacterial small subunit ribosomal RNA", at positions 30 to 417 of the family's 1533-position model. The record is from RNAcentral.
AUUGAACGCUGGCGGCAUGCUUUACACAUGCAAGUCGAACGGUAACAGGCCUUCGGGUGCUGACGAGUGGCGAACGGGUGAGUAAUGCAUCGGAACAUACCCAGUCGUGGGGGAUAACGUAGCGAAAGUUACGCUAAUACCGCAUACGUCCUGAGGGAGAAAGCGGGGGAUCGCAAGACCUCGCGCGAUUGGAGUGGCCGAUGUCAGAUUAGCUAGUUGGUGGGGUAAAGGCCCACCAAGGCGACGAUCUGUAGCGGGUCUGAGAGGAUGAUCCGCCACACUGGGACUGAGACACGGCCCAGACUCCUACAGGAGGCAGCAGUGGGGAAUUUUGGACAAUGGGGGAAACCCUGAUCCAGCCAUGCCGCGUGCGGGAAGAAGGCCU